This 1273-nucleotide long non-coding RNA is filed under the name Gallus gallus (chicken). RNAcentral describes it as "lncRNA (ENSGALG00010001033.1)". Lineage: Eukaryota; Metazoa; Chordata; Aves; Galliformes; Phasianidae. The record is from RNAcentral.
GAAACGGCCAAAUAAGGCACAAUGUUAUCUGGUGUGAACUAAUCAGAGUGGGACAUGACAGCACGGUUAUCUAGGUAAAAUGUAUAUAAGCUGUGUUUAGUAGUGAAUAAACGCCAUUUGCCUCACUUACUCCUGGGGUCUGGGUGAGCAUCUGGCCCCGACCUGGUAAAGGGUCGGUUUCGCCCAGCAGUAAGCCCUACAUGUGGACAGAGGACGAACACCGGACGAGCGAACGGAGACUACACGCAACAAGUGGUGACCCCGACGUGAUCUGUCUGCUGAGGGUGGCUGCCCGGCGUGCCCGUGACGCGGAGAAGAGCCUGUGAGGUGGCGGCAGGUCGCGCACGGAAGACGUACUGCGGUUAAGAGCCUGCGAGGUGGCGGCAGGUCGCAUGCGUAACAAUGGACCAAGUCAUUAAGGUACUUGUGCAGUUUUGUAAGGACUACUGUGGAAAAUCUGCUCCUUCCCGGAAGGAGAUCGCGGCAGUUUUGUCGCUGUUAAAUGAGCUGGGGGAGCUGGACUCUCCCCGCUACGUUUUGGAUUCGAGUAGGUGGGACUUGCUCACCUCGGUGCUAUGCCAGCGCGCCAUGGCCAGUCAGAAGGCUACGGAACUUAAAACGUGGGGACUGAUAUUAGGAGCCCUUAAAGCGGCCAGAGUUGAGGGAAAGUUAUUGGUGGAGGCUCGAUACCUUUUGGGUCUCAGCGGAGGAGGUGAGACACAGGACCCGGUCGGGUCCGAUGGGGGUUCGGGAGCAGUUUCUUGCAGGGGCCGAGAGGAGACGGAGCCGCCAAUGACCGUUGGCGGGAUGGCGCCGGCUGAGCCGACCGCGCUCAGUUCAAAAGAAGACAAACAACAAGAGAGUGAAAGUUCGUUGUCUCGUCCCCCUCCCCCGUAUCCACACCCCUCAGGCGGAACGUUGUAUCCUUUAUCAGAAUUACGUCAGUGUUACCUGACUCAAGGGGGCGGAGGAAGCUGUGAUCUACACGGGCAGGAUCAACUUAGUGCCCACAUGGGGAGGGACCAGACAAAAGGUCCGUCCAAUGCGGACAGGGGGCAUAGCCUACCGUCUCUGGUCACUCCCAGGGGCGGUAGUGCGAGUGAUAGUGUAGAGGAGAAAGAAGGGACUGGCUUUGAGUGCAGGGGGAGGGAUCAAAUGACGGACUGGAAUCGGAUUAGAUCGGAGGCUUUGGGGAAGGGUAUAGUUCCAGAGGCAUUCCGGGUGAUUGUGAGUGAUCAUGGUCCCGAAUGGGUGCCGCCUGACCCCGGGGGUG